UAAAGAUUUUAAGGGCGUACGGUGGAUGCCUUGGCGAUAUCAGCCGAAGAAGGACGCGGUAAGCUGCGAUAAGCUACGGAGAGGUGCAAGCAACCUUUGACCCGUAGAUUUCCGAAUGGGGGAACCCGGCAGUGGUUAUGCACUGUCACCCAUACCUUUGAGUAUGAGGAGGGCACCUGGGGAACUGAAACAUCUAAUUACCCAGAGGAAGAGUAAUCAAACGAGAUUUUCUUAGUAGCGGCGAGCGAACGGGAAAGAGGCCAAACCGGAGCGGGCAACCGCACCGGGGUUGAGGACAGUCAUCAAGUGUAAAUGAGGUAGAAGAAUCGAGUUGGAAAGCUCAGCCGCAGAAGGUGAAAGCCCUGUAAUCGAAACCUUGCAUACACGGGACUGUAUCCAGAGUACCACGAGACACGUGAAACCUUGUGGGAAGCAGGGGGGACCACCCUCCAAGCCAAAAUACUGAUAUCGACCGAUAGCGCAUAGUACCGUGAGGGAAAGGUGAAAAGAACCCCUGGCGGGGAGUGAAAGAGAACCUGAAACCGUAUGUCUACAAACAGUCGAAGUCUGUAUAUAUAUCAGGACGACGGCGUGCCUAUUGAAGAAUGAACCGACGAGUUACUGUUGCUAGCGAGGUUAAGUGGAAAACAUGGAGCCGCAGCGAAAGCGAGUCUGAACAGGGCGUUCAGUUAGUAAUAGUAGACCCGAAACCGUAGUGAUCUAUCCAUGGCCAGGUUGAAGCACAGGUAAAAUUGUGUGGAGGACCGAACUCGUGAGCGUUGAAAAGCUUUGGGAUGAGUUGUGGAUAGGGGUGAAAUGCCAAUCGAACACGGAGAUAGCUGGUUCUCCCCGAAAUAGCUUUAGGGCUAGCCUCGAGGUUGAGAGUAUAGGCGGUAGAGCACUGAUCGGGCUAGGGGCCAUACCGGUUACCGAACCUAGUCAAACUACGAAUGGCUAUACUUAUACUCGGGAGUCAGACAGUGAAUGAUAAGGUCCAUUGUCAAGAGGGAAACAGCCCAGAACACCGACUAAGGUCCCCAAUGUUACACUAAGUGGCGAAGGAUGUGGAAUUUCCAAAACAACCAGGAUGUUGGCUUAGAAGCAGCCACCAUUUAAAGAGUGCGUAAUAGCUCACUGGUCGAGAGACUCUGCGCCGAAAAUGUCCGGGGCUAAAGUGUAAAACCGAAGUCGUGUCAUAUGCAGCAAUGUAUAUGGGUAGGGGAGCGUUCUCAUCGGGCUGAAGCAGUACCGUAAGGAGUUGUGGACUGAUGAGAAGUGAGAAUGUCGGUAUGAGUAGCGAAAAGAAUGGUGAGAAUCCAUUCCACCGAAAGCCUAAGGGUUCCUGAGCAACGAUCGUCGUCUCAGGGUAAGUCGGGACCUAAGCCGAGGCGGAAAAGCGUAGGCGAUGGACAACAGGUUGAAAUUCCUGUACCGGUGUGAAUCGUUUGAUCGAUGGAGUGACACAGUAAGGUAGGUCAGCACGCGAUUGGAAGAGCGUGUUUAAGCAGGUAGGUUGAGCUAUAGGCAAAUCCGUAGCUCUAAAAGCUGAGAUGUGAUGACGAGUGACUAGCAAUAGUCGCGAAGUGAUUGAUCCUACACUGUCGAGAAAAGCUUCUAGGUAGAGACACAUCGCCCGUACCAAAACCGACACAGGUAGGCGGGGAGAGAAUCCUAAGGUGCGCGGGAAAACCCUCGUUAAGGAACUCGGCAAAAUGCCUCCGUAACUUCGGGAAAAGGAGGACUCAUGUAGUGUGAAGAGCAGAAGCGCUUGGAGCAUGAAUGAGUGGCACAAGAGAGGCGCAAGCGACUGUUUACCACAAACACAGGUGCCUGCUAAAGCGAAAGCUGAUGUAUAGGUGCUGACACCUGCCCGGUGCUGGAAGGUUAAGAGGAGGGGUUAGACUUCGGUCGAAGCUCUGAAUUGAAGCCCCAGUAAACGGCGGCCGUAACUAUAACGGUCCUAAGGUAGCGAAAUUCCUUGUCGGGU
This 1987-nucleotide ribosomal RNA is filed under the name human gut metagenome. RNAcentral describes it as "bacterial LSU rRNA". It matches the Rfam family "Bacterial large subunit ribosomal RNA", at positions 1 to 1977 of the family's 2925-position model. The record is from RNAcentral.